This 590-nucleotide ribosomal RNA is filed under the name uncultured archaeon. RNAcentral's name for it is "bacterial SSU rRNA". It matches the Rfam family "Archaeal small subunit ribosomal RNA", at positions 692 to 1281 of the family's 1478-position model. The record is from RNAcentral.
CGACGGUGAGGGACGAAUGCUGGGGGCGCAAACCGGAUUAGAUACCCGGGUAGUCCCAGCAGUAAACGAUGCCAGCUAUGUGUUGCUGGAACCAUGGGUUCCAGCAGUGCCGAAAGGAAGCCGUGAAGCUGGCCACCUGGGAAGUACGGUCGCAAGGCUGAAACUUAAAGGAAUUGGCGGGGGAGUACCACAACCGGUGGAGCCUGCGGUUUAAUUGGAUACAACGCCGGGAAUCUUACCGGAGGGGACAGCAGUAUGAAGGCCAGGCUAAAGACCUUGCCAGAUCAGCUGAGAGGAGGUGCAUGGCCGUCGCCAGUUCGUACCGUGAGGCAUCCUGUUUAGUCAGGCAACGAUCGAGACCCGCAGUCUUAUUUGCCAGCAUGCCCUUUGGGGUGUAUGGGUACAAUAAGACGACCGCCAGCGCUAAGCUGGAGGAAGGAGCGGGCUACGGUAGGUCAGCAUGCCCCGAAUCCUCCGGGAUACACGCGGGCUACAAUGGUCAGGACAAAAGGUACCGACCUCGAAAGAGUGAGGUAAUCCACAAACCUGAUCUCAGUCCGGAUCGAAGGCUGCAACUCGCCUUCGUGAAG